UUCUUGUUUAGAUUUCUUGUUUGUAUUUUUGGUCUGUGACAGUUUGUCGAGACUGCCUUUAUCUUAAUAUCAGAGCUUAGUUCUUUGAGGCAGAGAGUGGACUACCCCUUUUCUUGGAGAUACUUGAGCGUUCUAAGGGUUGCGGAUUACCCUCUCUUGGACUGAUAUUAAUUCCUUCUCUUUGUUUAGCAUAGCUAGUAGAAAAGACUGUUAACAUCGAUUUCAGAGCUUUGCCUUCUUGAUAGAGUGCGGAUUACCCCUCUUCUCGAAAGCAUUGAGGCAUUUUUAGAGGUUGCGGAUUACCCUCCUCUAAAACUGAAAUCGUUUAGUGUUUUUCUUUUUUCUUUUCUCCGAGUAGGUUUUAAGUAGUGCUACAAUUUUCUCCAAGAGACUUAGCAAUUUCUUCUUCU
RNAcentral lists this long non-coding RNA (410 nucleotides) under Physcomitrium patens. RNAcentral's name for it is "long non-coding RNA (PPAT_LNC008976)". The record is from RNAcentral. Lineage: Eukaryota; Viridiplantae; Streptophyta; Bryopsida; Funariales; Funariaceae.